This 225-nucleotide ribosomal RNA is filed under the name uncultured bacterium. Its description in RNAcentral is "partial 16S ribosomal RNA". It matches the Rfam family "Bacterial small subunit ribosomal RNA", at positions 524 to 744 of the family's 1533-position model. The record is from RNAcentral.
CACGUAGGGCGCAAGCGUUGUCCGGAAUUAUUGGGCGUAAAGAGCUCGUAGGUGGUCUGUUGCGUCCGCUGUGAAAACCCGCGGCUCAACCGCGUGGCUUGCAGUCGAUACGGGCAGGCUAGAAUUCGGUAGGGGAGACUGGAAUUCCUGGUGUAGCGGUGAAAUGCGCAGAUAUCAGGAGGAACACCGGUGGGCGAAGGCGGGGUCUCUGGGCCGAUAAUUGAC